RNAcentral lists this ribosomal RNA (763 nucleotides) under uncultured bacterium. RNAcentral's name for it is "bacterial SSU rRNA". It matches the Rfam family "Bacterial small subunit ribosomal RNA", at positions 119 to 883 of the family's 1533-position model. The record is from RNAcentral.
AUCCAACCUGCCCAUCACUUGGGGAUAACCUUGCGAAAGUAAGACUAAUACCCAAUGACGUCUCUAGAAGACAUCUGAAAGGGAUUAAAGAUUUAUCGGUGAUGGAUGGGGAUGCGUCUGAUUAGCUUGUUGGCGGGGUAACGGCCCACCAAGGCGACGAUCAGUAGGGGUUCUGAGAGGAAGGUCCCCCACAUUGGAACUGAGACACGGUCCAAACUCCUACGGGAGGCAGCAGUGAGGGAUAUUGGUCAAUGGACGAGAGUCUGAACCAGCCAAGUAGCGUGCAGGAUGACGGCCCUAUGGGUUGUAAACUGCUUUUAUAAGGGAAUAAAGUGAGUCUCGUGAGACUUUUUGCAUGUACCUUAUGAAUAAGGACCGGCUAAUUCCGUGCCAGCAGCCGCGGUAAUACGGAAGGUCCGGGCGUUAUCCGGAUUUAUUGGGUUUAAAGGGAGCGUAGGCCGGAGAUUAAGCGUGUUGUGAAAUGUAGACGCUCAACGUCUGCACUGCAGCGCGAACUGGUUUCCUUGAGUACGCACAAAGUGGGCGGAAUUCGUGGUGUAGCGGUGAAAUGCUUAGAUAUCACGAAGAACUCCGAUUGCGAAGGCAGCUCACUGGAGCGCAACUGACGCUGAAGCUCGAAAGUGCGGGUAUCGAACAGGAUUAGAUACCCUGGUAGUCCGCACGGUAAACGAUGGAUGCCCGCUGUUGGCCUGAACAGGUCAGCGGCCAAGCGAAAGCAUUAAGCAUCCCACCUGGGGAGUAC